RNAcentral lists this non-coding RNA (26 nucleotides) under Homo sapiens (human). Lineage: Eukaryota; Metazoa; Chordata; Mammalia; Primates; Hominidae. The record is from RNAcentral.
UUCCAGAACAAGGAGUGUAGCCGCCC